Odocoileus virginianus texanus is the source of this 1662-nucleotide long non-coding RNA. RefSeq lists it as uncharacterized. The record is from RefSeq and is a predicted model, not a curated record. Lineage: Eukaryota; Metazoa; Chordata; Mammalia; Artiodactyla; Cervidae.
AAGAGUCGGACACGACUGAGCGACUGAACUGAACUGAAUUGAACUGAAACUGUCAUAAGAGUGGAAAUUAUGUUUUUGUUCACCACAGAAUCAGGAGUAUCUCUUAAUAGAGGGGAUAAAAUCUAACACUGAAAGCAAAAAAGUCAUAUUCCCUUUGGAGCUUGAGUUUUGGCCCCACACUCAUGACAUUUUGAGAAGCAAAGAAAUUUUUAGUUCCUAAUGUCACUUUGUCAAACAGUUUUAUCGUUCCAGGUCUAAUCCUUUUUAGCAUUGUUAAAGAUCUUACCAGAGUCUCAGUUAUGUUCAAAAAAAAACCAAAACAAAACAACACAAAAGGAAUAUAAGUACAAAAAAGAGAUUUUGGUUCAAUCUGGCCUGAAUAUUAGUCAUUCUGUACUAGUCUUAUGUGGUUUGAGUGCUCAUGUGACUUUUCUCAUAAAUUGAGCCACUUUUGAGGAAGGAUAAACUGGAGGGAACACAUGCUAAAAUGUUGAUUUCCUCUGUAUUUUUCUUUUGAAACUGCAAAUUUUAUUUCUAUUUAUCUUUUCAGGUCUACAAAAAUAUUGAGUCUGCUUGCUAUUGGGUUUCUAUCUGCAAAAUUAAGAGUUUGGCCAUGGAUUCUGCAGCCACCAUAAAAUUAGUUUUGCCAACAAUCUAAGGGAGAUUGGAAGUGAAUCCGUCCCCAGUUGAGCACCCUCUUGAGAAUGCAACCAAGCCAGAACGUUGAUUUCAACCUUGUGAAACCCUGAGUACAGAGCUGAGAACUCAGCUAAUCCUCAUCCAGAUGUCUAACCUAUAGAAGAUGAGGUGCUGUUCCUGAGGCCACCUUCCUAUCAGUCCCAAAAUACUCCAGGUAAUGGGCAGACAUCUUUCCUAGACAUCAGCUCAACAGCUGGAACAAUUCAGACUACUUGAUACCCAGUCAGCUGCUUAUCCCACUGCUGAAAAAAUUAAGAAGGUUUUGGAAGAAAAAUUCUCUUGAUACAAGACACAAAAGAAAGCCUUUAAUAAAACAAAUACACACAAAAUCCUCCAAAUUACAACCAGAAAAACAGUAUUAGCAGUGUUGACUUCAGAAGAAUCUAAUCAAUGAUUCAUUUUACUCUCAGCAAAGAACUCUACUUACAUAGCCUGUGUCUAAUGAUUUUAAGCUCAUCUCUUCUUUAGUUUCACUGCAUAAUUGUGUAGCAAAGUCAGAAGUGCUAUGAAGAACUGAACUCUGCUUACUACCAUUGGUCUGAAAUACAUUGUACACUUAGCCCCCUGUUUCUGGCUCUUUCACAUACAGUGAAAAUCAUAUCUUUUUCAGAAAUCAUAAGAUAAAAGAUCUUCUUUAACAUCCAAUAAUCCAAUAAUAGUAAGACAGAAACAACAACAUGAAGCAGAUAAACAUUUUACUGAUGAGUCAUUGUGCAGUGAAAGAGGAAGUAAAUUAACACUCAACCUGUUCCAUUGCUAAACAUUCACGAUGAGGAUUUAACAUCUGGACUAAGGAAACCAGAUGGUUACAGAGAGAAAAUUAGGCAACUUGAAGUCUUCAGAAAACUAAGAGCUCCCAAGUAGGGGGAAAAUAAUCAAGGUUGAUUGAGCUUGUUGUUCAUUCACUAAGUUGUGUCUGACUCUUUGUGACGCCAUGGACUGCAGCACACCAGGCUCCCCUGU